Molecule: non-coding RNA, 99 nt
Organism: Chloroflexi bacterium RBG_13_50_21
Lineage: Bacteria; Bacillati; Chloroflexota
Source: Rfam
UUUAUAGAUGGAUGCGAUGAGCCGGAGAUCUUAUUGGGCGCCUACCUAUUUUAUAGGGAGAUCUCUGGGGAGCUAAUAGCGAAACCGGCCAUAAAUCCG